RNAcentral lists this long non-coding RNA (662 nucleotides) under Pan troglodytes (chimpanzee). RNAcentral describes it as "lincRNA". Lineage: Eukaryota; Metazoa; Chordata; Mammalia; Primates; Hominidae. The record is from RNAcentral.
GGGGCUGGGCGGGGUCUCAGCUCCCGACAAGGCUGUGAGGCCAUCUUGGGCACGUGGCCCUGGACUGUCCCAGGGGAAGCCCGCUCUCCACUUCCCCCAAUCCCUCCCCAAGCCAAGCCCAGCAGCCAGGAGCCAUUAGGGGUUAGAGGAAGACUACAGAAAAGGCCAAAGGUGCAUCUGGUAGUUUGCCUUGCGAGCCCACACGGGUGGGUGAAGAAAUUCACUGGGUACUGUGCUGAGGGCAAAAAGUCAGGAGUUUUUAAGUUCUAGAAAAGAGGAGUUUAUGUUGGUUGUGCCCUUUAAACAGUAAAGGGUCCUCUGGAUAGGUAGGGCCGCGUCCACGGCUCUGCUCACACUUGGAUACUCAGUCUCAUUCCUCACUGGUCAGCAGGAGCUUUCUGUUCGGUCCAGUUAGGGUCUGGGGCGCCUGGGUCCCACAAACCAGAUGGCCAUAGGGACGUCCGGAUUCAACCUGCCCCGAUUCAGCAGCUGUGGUGAAAAUAACAUCCAGUCGCGUUUUCUCCCAGGUUCUACUCUGAGUGGGCCCCACUCGCCAAGUACACACUGAAGCCUCACCAUUGUGCCCCCGUCAAAGCCCUGCUUUCCUCCAUGGGAGCUGGCCCUUCAGGACCUCUCAGCUGUGCUCCUGUGGGGUCUGGCAG